CUUGGUCAUUUAGAGGAAGUAAAAGUCGUAACAAGGUCUCCGUUGGUGAACCAGCGGAGGGAUCAUUACCGAGUUUACAACUCCCAAACCCCUGUGAACAUACCAAUUGUUGCCUCGGCGGAUCAGCCCGCUCCCGGUAAAACGGGACGGCCCGCCAGAGGACCCCUAAACUCUGUUUCUAUAUGUAACUUCUGAGUAAAACCAUAAAUAAAUCAAAACUUUCAACAACGGAUCUCUUGGUUCUGGCAUCGAUGAAGAACGCAGCAAAAUGCGAUAAGUAAUGUGAAUUGCAGAAUUCAGUGAAUCAUCGAAUCUUUGAACGCACAUUGCGCCCGCCAGUAUUCUGGCGGGCAUGCCUGUUCGAGCGUCAUUUCAACCCUCAAGCCCCCGGGUUUGGUGUUGGGGAUCGGCGAGCCCUUGCGGCAAGCCGGCCCCGAAAUCUAGUGGCGGUCUCGCUGCAGCCUCCAUUGCGUAGUAGCUAACACCUCGCAACUGGAACGCGGCGCGGCCAAGCCGUUAAACCCCCAACUUCUGAAUGUUGACCUCGGAUCAGGUAGGAAUACCCGCUGAACUUAAGCAUAUCAAUAAGCGGAGGA
This 596-nucleotide ribosomal RNA is filed under the name uncultured fungus. RNAcentral describes it as "eukaryotic LSU rRNA". The stretch from base 217 to 370 matches the Rfam family "5.8S ribosomal RNA". The record is from RNAcentral. Lineage: Eukaryota; Fungi.